UUCGAUUAAGCCAUGCGAGUCGAGAGGGUUCGGCCCUCGGCUGACUGCUCAGUAACACGUGGAUAACUUGCCCUCAGGUAGGGGAUAAUCUCGGGAAACUGAGGAUAAUACCCUAUAAACAUCCUUUGCUGGAAUGCUUGGAUGUUCAAAGGCAACGCCUGAGGAUAGGUCUGCGGCCUAUCAGGUUGUAGUGGGUGUAACGGACCCACUAGCCCGCGACGGGUACGGGCCUUGAAAGAGGUAGCCCGGAGAUGGACUCUGAGACACGAGUCCAGGCCCUACGGGGCGCAGCAGGCGCGAAAACUUCGCAAUGCGGGAAACCGUGACGAGGGAAUUCCGAGUGCUCAUACAAUGUAUGGGCUUUUCUGAUGUGUAAAAAGCAUUAGGAAUAAGGGCUGGGUAAGACCGGUGCCAGCCGCCGCGGUAAUACCGGCAGCUCUAGUGGUAGCCACUUUUAUUGGGCCUAAAGCGUCCGUAGCCGAUCAGGUAAAUCCUUGGGUAAAUCGUACAGCUUAACUGUGCGGCUUCCGGGGAGACUGCUUGACUUGGGACCGGGAGAGGUUGGAGGUACUCCUGGGGUAGGGGUGAAAUCCUGUAAUCCUAGGUGGACCACCGGUGGCGAAGGCGUCCAACCAGAACGGCUCCGACGGUGAGGGACGAAGGCUAGGGGCGCAAACCGGAUUAGAUACCCGGGUAGUCCUAGCUGUAAACGCUGCAGACUUGGUGUUGGAGAUCCUACGAGGGUGUCCAGUGCCGGAGAGAAGUUGUUAAGUUUGCCGCCUGGGAAGUAUGGCCGCAAGGCUGAAACUUAAAGGAAUUGGCGGGGGAGCUCCGCAACGGGAGGAGCGUGCGGUUUAAUUGGAUUCAACGCCGGAA
This 876-nucleotide ribosomal RNA is filed under the name uncultured Thermoplasmata archaeon. Its description in RNAcentral is "bacterial SSU rRNA". It matches the Rfam family "Archaeal small subunit ribosomal RNA", at positions 39 to 923 of the family's 1478-position model. The record is from RNAcentral. Lineage: Archaea; Methanobacteriati; Thermoplasmatota; Thermoplasmata.